AUACGGAGGGUGCAAGCGUUAAUCGGAAUUACUGGGCGUAAAGCGUACGUAGGCGGUUAUUUAAGUCAGAUGUGAAAGCCCCGGGCUUAACUUGGGAACUGCAUUUGAAACUGGGUAACUAGAGUUUAGUAGAGGGGAGUGGAAUUUCAGGUGUAGCGGUGAAAUGCGUAGAGAUCUGAAGGAACACCAGUGGCGAAGGCGACUCCCUGGACUAAAACUGACGCUGAAGUACGAAAGCGUGGGUAGCAAACAGGAUUAGAAACCCCAGAAGUCC
RNAcentral lists this ribosomal RNA (274 nucleotides) under uncultured bacterium. RNAcentral's name for it is "partial 16S ribosomal RNA". It matches the Rfam family "Bacterial small subunit ribosomal RNA", at positions 523 to 796 of the family's 1533-position model. The record is from RNAcentral.